Molecule: ribosomal RNA, 395 nt
Filed under: uncultured bacterium
Lineage: Bacteria
Description: bacterial SSU rRNA
Rfam family: Bacterial small subunit ribosomal RNA
Source: RNAcentral
AACGGACGCUGGCGGCAGGCCCAACACAUGCAAGUCGAACGCCCUAGCAAUAGGGAGUGGCAGACGGGUGAGUAACGCGUGGGAACGUACCCUUCGGUUCGGAAUAACCCAGGGAAACUUGGACUAAUACCGGAUACGUGCGAGAGCAGAAAGAUUUAUCGCCGAAGGAUCGGCCCGCGUCCGAUUAGCUAGUUGGUGAGGUAAUGGCUCACCAAGGCGACGAUCGGUAGCUGGUCNGAGAGGAUGAUCAGCCACACUGGGACUGAGACACGGCCCAGACUCCUACGGGAGGCAGCAGUGGGGAAUAUUGGACAAUGGGCGCAAGCCUGAUCCAGCCAUGCCGCGUGAGUGAUGAAGGCCCUAGGGUUGUAAAGCUCUUUCGCCAGGGACGAUAA